RNAcentral lists this ribosomal RNA (449 nucleotides) under uncultured bacterium. Its description in RNAcentral is "partial 16S ribosomal RNA". It matches the Rfam family "Bacterial small subunit ribosomal RNA", at positions 29 to 523 of the family's 1533-position model. The record is from RNAcentral.
AACGAACGCUGGCGGCAUGCCUAACACAUGCAAGUCGAACGAGAUCUUCGGGUCUAGUGGCGCACGGGUGCGUAACGCGUGGGAAUCUGCCCUUUGGUUCGGAAUAACAGUUGGAAACGACUGCUAAUACCGGAUGAUGACGAAAGUCCAAAGAUUUAUCGCCAGGGGAUGAGCCCGCGUAGGAUUAGCUAGUUGGUGUGGUAAAGGCGCAUCAAGGCGACGAUCCUUAGCUGGUCUGAGAGGAUGAUCAGGCACACUGGGACUGAGACACGGCCCAGACUCCUACGGGAGGCAGCAGUGGGGAAUAUUGGACAAUGGGCGAAAGCCUGAUCCAGCAAUGCCGCGUGAGUGAUGAAGGCCUUAGGGUUGUAAAGCUCUUUUACCCGGGAUGAUAAUGACAGUACCGGGAGAAUAAGCUCCGGCUAACUCCGUGCCAGCCGCCGCCGUAA